This 306-nucleotide unclassified non-coding RNA is filed under the name Cladophialophora sp. Its description in RNAcentral is "partial contains 5.8S ribosomal RNA, internal transcribed spacer 2, and large subunit ribosomal RNA". The stretch from base 1 to 71 matches the Rfam family "5.8S ribosomal RNA", at positions 84 to 154 of the family's 154-position model. Lineage: Eukaryota; Fungi; Ascomycota; Eurotiomycetes; Chaetothyriales; Herpotrichiellaceae. The record is from RNAcentral.
GUGAGUCAUCGAAUCUUUGAACGCACAUUGCGCCCUUUGGUAUUCCGAAGGGCAUGCCUGUUCGAGCGUCAUUAUCACCCCUCAAGCCCCGUGCUUGGUGUUGGACGGCCGGUCGAGCGAUCGACCCCUCCGAAAGACAAUGACGGCGGCCUGUGGUUCCCCCGGUACACUGAGCUUUUCACCGAGCACGUAUCGGACAAGGGCGCCCGGGACCCGGUCCCCUCCUUUCACAAGGAAACUUUUCAAGGUUGACCUCGGAUCAGGUAGGAAUACGCGCUGAACUUAAGCAUAUCAAUAAGCGGAGGA